GAUUCGCUUACGACCUGAUCCAUUUAUGAUCUGAUCUGAUCCAUUUGCCACCCCUAGCAUCAGUAUUAAAUUUUAAUAUUUUAUCUUCUUAAAAAAAAAAUUCUCAAAGUUUUACGUGUAAGGGAUGCUUGCGGAUGACUGGAUCUGAAUCAAUGGAUUUUUUUGCCGACUUUUGUUCAAAUUUUAUGUAACUCUUUUUAC
Molecule: long non-coding RNA, 201 nt
Filed under: Elaeis guineensis (African oil palm)
Lineage: Eukaryota; Viridiplantae; Streptophyta; Magnoliopsida; Arecales; Arecaceae
Description: long non-coding RNA (EGUI_LNC021048)
Source: RNAcentral